RNAcentral lists this long non-coding RNA (161 nucleotides) under Polistes fuscatus (common paper wasp). Its description in RNAcentral is "uncharacterized LOC122524143". The record is from RNAcentral. Lineage: Eukaryota; Metazoa; Arthropoda; Insecta; Hymenoptera; Vespidae.
AGAUGAGAAAAAGGAAAAAGAAGAGAAAAAGGAAGAGGAACAAAGAAACGUUAUCCUGUAAAGGGAAAAGAUAAUUUAGUUAUAAUGACACGGGAACGAAUCUUUUGUAUAAGAUAAUUUCGAACACUUUUACUUCUUGAAAUUUCAUAUUAAGCGACAGA